This 305-nucleotide unclassified non-coding RNA is filed under the name plant metagenome. RNAcentral describes it as "partial contains 5.8S ribosomal RNA, internal transcribed spacer 2, and large subunit ribosomal RNA". The stretch from base 1 to 105 matches the Rfam family "5.8S ribosomal RNA", at positions 50 to 154 of the family's 154-position model. The record is from RNAcentral.
GAAAUGCGAUAAGUAGUGUGAAUUGCAGAAUUCAGUGAAUCAUCGAAUCUUUGAACGCACAUUGCGCCCUUUGGUAUUCCUUAGGGCAUGUCUGUUCGAGCGUCAUUUAAACCCUUCAAGCUCAGCUUGGUGUUGGGUGACUGUCCGCCGCCCCCGGGCGUGGACUCGCCCCAAAUCCAUUGGCGGCCGGUACGUAGGCUUCGAGCGCAGCAGAAACGCGAACUCGAGCCCGCGGUGUCGGCUCCCAGAAGCCAUCUCUUUUAUUUUGACCUCGGAUCAGGUAGGGAUACCCGCUGAACUUAAGC